UCAAUGGAGGCAACUCUGAACCAGCCAUGCCGCGUGCAGGAUGACUGCCCUAUGGGUUGUAAACUGCUUUAUUACGGGGAGAAAUUAUCUACGAGUAGAUAACUGACGGUACCGUAAGAAUAAGCACCGGCUAACUCCGUGCCAGCAGCCGCGGUAAUACGGAGGGUGCAAGCGUUAUCCGGAUUUAUUGGGUUUAAAGGGUCCGUAGGCGGGCUUAUAAGUCAGAGGUGAAAUCCCAUCGCUCAACGAUGGAACUGCCUUUGAUACUGUAGGUCUUGAAUGUAUUUGAAGUAGGCGGAAUAUGUAGUGUAGCGGUGAAAUGCAUAGAUAUUACAUAGAACACCAAUUGCGAAGGCAGCUUACUAAGAUAUAAUUGACGCUGAUGGACGAAAGCGUGGGUAGCGAACGGGAUUAGAUACCCUGGUAG
RNAcentral lists this ribosomal RNA (427 nucleotides) under uncultured bacterium. Its description in RNAcentral is "bacterial SSU rRNA". It matches the Rfam family "Bacterial small subunit ribosomal RNA", at positions 368 to 793 of the family's 1533-position model. The record is from RNAcentral.